Molecule: ribosomal RNA, 465 nt
Filed under: Vreelandella stevensii
Lineage: Bacteria; Pseudomonadati; Pseudomonadota; Gammaproteobacteria; Oceanospirillales; Halomonadaceae
Description: partial 16S ribosomal RNA
Rfam family: Bacterial small subunit ribosomal RNA
Source: RNAcentral
CCUACGGGGGGCAGCAGUGGGGAAUAUUGGACAAUGGGGGGAACCCCGAUCCAGCCAUGCCGCGUGUGUGAAGAAGGCCCUCGGGUUGUAAAGCACUUUCAGUGAGGAAGAACGCCUGGUGGUUAAUACCCAUCAGGAAAGACAUCACUCACAGAAGAAGCACCGGCUAACUCCGUGCCAGCAGCCGCGGUAAUACGGAGGGUGCGAGCGUUAAUCGGAAUUACUGGGCGUAAAGCGCGCGUAGGUGGCUUGAUAAGCCGGUUGUGAAAGCCCCGGGCUCAACCUGGGAACGGCAUCCGGAACUGUCAAGCUAGAGUGCAGGAGAGGAAGGUAGAAUUCCCGGUGUAGCGGUGAAAUGCGUAGAGAUCGGGAGGAAUACCAGUGGCGAAGGCGGCCUUCUGGACUGACACUGACACUGAGGUGCGAAAGCGUGGGUAGCAAACAGGAUUAGAUACCCCAGUAGUC